AAUAAAUAAGAUCAUUAAGGGUCUUGUCAUAGUCUAUUUCAUAGGAGUCCCAAAGGAAUUCACUAUGUGACUUAUAAAGUGAUUGAACAUCCACUUCCUCUAGACUUUGACACCCAACUCUCCCGGCUUGUCAAUACGUGACUUCAUCUCCAAGAUGUGAUCACACAUAGACCUUGCUUGCCAAUAGGGAUUGAGUGACCUUAAACUUUUCAAGAACUUGUGGGUUAGGGAGAAUAAUUGGAGGAGGUGAAAGAAGUAAAGUUCCAAGAGAUUUGGGAAGAUCAUAGAUGUCUGAACUUAGACAUCUUUUGGGAGAUAUUCAAGAUAGUUGAUCUAAAGUCCUUAAUAUGACACCCAAUAUGAAAUAUUAAGGCUAGGACCCAACAAACUAUUUUAUAACUUAGAAGAGGUAUGCCGUAAUCCAAGCUAUAAAAUAUUUGAAGGUAGGUGAAUGACGAUUCACCAAUUUCCACCAAGAUAAACGAAAUGUAUUAUUAGGUUUUAAUUGGUUUUGAAACUCCUAGAUCUUUGAGAUUCAUUGAACUUUUCAAAGGCAUGUUUCAAUCUCGAGUGUGCCCUUCAGGUUUUGUGACUGGGAUGCCGAGGAUCACAAAACAAGGUGUGAAGUAACCAUGCAAAUCACUUGGUACCCUUAAUAAAUUACCCCUCAAUCGAUGUGCCGGUUAACCACACACGCUCCAUCGAUACUAUGAUAAAUAUUAAGUCACCCUUUACCUACCUUGUUAAGUCCAAGUUAGUGUGCCGGUUAACCACACACGCUCCACUAACGACUUAGACAAAGUGUAAAGUGUAAUUUCAUGGAUUAGCACCUUAUUCACAUUUUUCCUAAGUAACUAAGAUUGGGUAUUAUUAAGAGUUUAGUUACUUAGUAUUAUCAUUAAUACUUUUAAUGAAGGGAGAAUUCUAGUCCUGUCAAACCCGUUCGGCUAACGACCCUCCACCAGUCAAGCAAGCGGUGGGUGAGAGUGGACACCCAUUAAGUUGCCAUUUUAUAGGCAACAACCUUAUACCCACCUUAUAGACCGGCUUCGUGAAUGAGGCGUACUAGCGGUAAGACUGACUUUACUCAUAUAUAUAUAUAUAUUAUUAACUUAUAAUAUUAUAAAGUAUAAGGGUUGAAUUUUAACUUUUAAAAUUCUAAGGGCUAACUUGGAAUUAAAGUAUUCAUAAGUGAAAACUUUUCAAAUUCCAAAACUUGAGGGCAAGUUUUGAAACUAUUCAAAACUAAUUAAUUCCAUAACUUAUGUGUUUAAAGUAGUUUUAAUUAAAAGACUCUUCAAGUUCCAUAACUUGAGGACAAGUUAUGGAAGACUUUAAACUAAUAAAAGAAUGUAACUUUUCUUUAUUUUGUAACUUAUGGAAUUAAUUAAGGUUACACAUUUUAUUACUUAAUGAAGUGACUCUUGAACCUCCAUAACUUUAGGACAAGACUCUUCAUUUUUUGUAAUCAUUGCCAACUUUUAUGAGUUUUAUGAAACUUAAAUGUGACAUUUCAUAUAACUUGAGGACAAGUUACAAAAACACAUUUUAGAAUCAACUCUUAGAUUAAAAUGGAUUGAAAACACAUAAUCAAUUUCCUUUUCUAUUAAUCUAAGCAACUCAUAAGAACAAGAUAAUUCAAAUCAAAAUUUUUCAUGUAAUUAGUCUAAACCUUAAACUAAUACAAAACAUGAAUCUAUUGACAAUUAUCUUUGAAAUUGGAUUAGCAUGAACAUUACCACAUCAAAAACAAGUUUAUAAGUCCAAAAACAUCUUAGGGUAAUGUUCCUAGUCCAAUUCCAGCCAAAACAAUUGAAUAUAUGUUGCCUGGGGGUCCAACUCAUCGAGGGCACGAACGAACUCAGCGAGUUGGAUGCUUUUUGCCUUGGACUCGGCGAGUCCAUAAGUGGACUCGGCGAGUCUGCAGAGCAGACUGCAUCAAAAUUUGAUUUUUAAGCCAAUUUUGCAAGUAUAACAAGAAAACAAGCCUAGGCUCUGAUACCACUGUUGGGUUAUGAGCAUUUUAACACUCCUAAGUGUACAUGCAACCCUAAUACCUUGGAUCUAUGUUUUCUCUAUUAUACAUGCAAAUAUGAACUUUCCAAGGUAUUACCCUAUCUAGCAUACAAUACUUGAUACUUGGGUAAUCAAAUGGAUAGAAUACAUACCUUUGUUUGAUGUANGUUUGUCUUCAUGAAGCCUGAGUGUCUAGUGCCCCAAGUGUGACACCUCAAAUGGCUCAAACAACACCAAAUGCACAUGGAAUGACUUGAGAGAAAAUGAAACACUUCUUGAAAUCAUCUAGCCCUCAUAUUCACACACUAGUGCAAGAUUUCUUGAGCCAUGGGAUUUUUUUAUAUGGUGGCUAUUAGGGUUACACCAUGUAACUCAUAACUUUACCCAUUCCUUAUGCUCCAUGGAUUUUAACCUCCAUGGAGUAUCCAUGGGUCACCCCAUGGACUUAGUCCAACAUAAGGAAUCUUGGAUCACAAACCCACAUAUAUAAGAACAAAUGACUUACACAAUCAACCCAUAUAUUUAAUUAGUCUCCUUUUGAUCACUUAAUGAUCAAUACUAAUUAAAUAACCUUAUUAAUAUAUUAGAACUUAUAAUAUAUUAACAAACCUUAAGUGUUAUUUCUCUCAUUAUAGUCUAUGCAAAUGCAUGACGCCAUGCAACCCAAAUGGACCAUGCCAGGUCGGGUCAAGUCUUACCAAUUAUAGUUAUGGACUUAGACAUUAAUCCAAUAGUCUCCCACUUGGUUAAGUCUAAAAUUAUUAUUGUGUAUGACUUCAGGAACCGAUCAGCAAUCGUAGCUCUCAAAAGCUUCUGUCGCACUCUGACCUUGUCGAUGAACUCUAACUUUCGUCAAUGAUUUUUCCAUAUGUAAGGGUUCAUAUAUUCCUCUAUUCUAGAUAUCAUAUGGACUGAGACAUGGAUUAUAAUCAUUCUCUCUGUCCAUUUGUUGUUUCCCGAUUUCCGAUUUAUAAUGAUUGACUAAUUGAACAAAUCAAAUCAGACCAGGCUUGGCCGAGCACUUACAUUUGUCAUCACCAAAUCAUCGAGGGGCCCACAGAUAUCGCAUUUAUCCUGAUGGUAAAAGGAAUGGAUUAACUUUGACUCAUAUGUCUUGUUUUACUACUUGUUGAAUCAUACACAAAGGCACGUUUUAUAACAUCGAGUUACUAAUGCGUUUUCAUGCAAUCAAUGUAUAACCAAGUCAUAGUAACAACUCAUAUCUCUAGGUUUGAAGAAUAUAAGAUAUUAUCGUCUCAUGAUCACUCGUGAUAAAAUCCAUGAAGUGAUUCCAAUGAGCGCGGGUUGAAUCCAAUACUCAAAACUUAUGAGCACUCAUGAGUGUUGUAGCCCUUUGUCCAACACCUUAGACCUCUACAAGCCAACCCAUGANACCCAUGACAAUCUUGAUUCAUAUCUAUUUCCAACAUAUGAUCGACUGUAGAUGGUUUGAAUAACUUAGUCAUUCAAAACAAUGACCUAGUUAUUCUGGAAGUCAAAACAUGCAAAAUGAAACACAAGAAUAAUUGAAUCCAAUAUGGUCUCAGAACUUAGGAAUAUAAAUAAAACACCUUUUAUUUAUCACCAUAUUAUUACACAUUAUUCAUUGCAUACUGUUUCAUCUAUCAACUUCAUUCUUAAAUUUAAAAACACUAGUUGUCCCAUGCUCCAAGGAAGUAGACUAUGUUUUUCUAAUGACUAGUCAUGCCAUACACCAAGUAUGCAUCCUAUGUUUGUCUAUGAUCUUUACUUUGUGAAAUAGAUCAAAUGAACAUAACUCUAAUGAUCCUCUUUUCACAGUCCCAACUCCUUACUGCAGGUGCAAGAAUUCUAAAUUCAUGCCAUUUACUGAAAUCUGUUAGAUUCUAAACUUAUAUGCAUUGAUCCUCUUGUAAUGAUUAUGCACAAAGUCACAAGGACUUGACAACAAACAUUACAGAGCAUUCCAAAGGAGAUCAACCCCUUGGAAACAUCCUUCUUGCAUUAAGUUUCCUAGUCUUUCGUAGAUUGAAUAAUUACUAUCUUUGAAACAUAUCCAUAUUCCAUUUUGACUAUCACUUCUGAAAAAGAGUUUCCUCCUUACAGAUUAUAUCAAUAUGGUCCUUCUAGAAUUAACACUAUACUUCAAACUGUCCUUGAGCAACCAAUCUUUGGUGAACCUUAGAUUGUCCUCAACAAUUGCUUAAUCCUUUUAGUCAUGUCCAAUUCUAGACCUUUUCCCUUCUUCAUGCCCUAGGCAUUUGGAAAAUUUUAGAAAGGAUGAAUAUUAUAGCACAUGCAAUCGAUCCUAUAUACGAAGCAUAUGGGACACGAUUCAUGACGUCUCGCAUAAAGACAUAAUACUAGAGAAGUCCUUUUGCUAGAAUAUUUCUAUUUGCCAAGUUCUCAUAAUUUUAGAUUAUGAAAAGGGAUGUCGUAAUCAUAAUCAAAUUUUAGAAUGCAAACAAUAGACCCAUAUCUAGAAUUUCUUUAUGUUGAGCCAUUCCAACAUGAAAUUCAUAUAUAUAUAUUCUUGACUAAAUACGAUUAAGACCUCAAUCUAAGCUUUUAGAUUUGAGAUGAAGUAUAAUUUCCUCUCCCUUAAGUAUAACAAAACAACUUUUUCACAAUUGAGACCUUUUGUUUUCUAUAAUUAACAUUGCUAACUUGCAACCUUUAUCAUAAUUAUCAUGCUCCCACUAACAUGAUGAUUAUUAGCAUAACACUUAUGCUCCCACUAGCUUUGACAUGUACUCAAAAAUCAGCUGAACUUCUAGAAAAACAAUACUUUAUUGACUUUCUUACCAAGGUUGAGAUUUCUGAAACUAGAUUGCUUUGAUAAAACUUUAUCAAUAUCAUACACCUUAUCUUAGAUAGCUCACAGGUGUGUCUAAAAAAUUUAAAGAACUAUGAAAACGGAUGUCGUAAUCAUAGUCUUGAUUGUUUAGACCUUUGCCACUUCUCACAAGUCCAUGUUAGUGUGUCGGUUAACCACACACGCUCCACUAACGACUUUGAGAAUGCAAAUAUCACAAUUGCUAUCUAGCUAAAAUCUACUUAGUGAAAGUGUUUCCUCACCAUCAUUUUCAUGAAUCGGAGAGAAACCUUAUGACACUUAGAUUUAAUGGUGUAUGUGUUCUUAUCCAUGUGAAUUGUCAAAACCAUAGUCACAAGACAAGGAUAAUGACAAAUCCAAACUCAUAUGGAUUGAACUCAAUCUUAACUUCUUGCCACCUGGCAGCUCAAGGGCCUGCCAUUGCUUCCAAGUUGUUAUGCAACAAAUUGAGAACUCUAAGAACUCAUAUGCAACGCCAACUUUAACUGGAAUAGGCACAGAAUAUGUCAACACGAUAGGUUAUAAACCUCAAGUCGUGUGCUAGUGAAGAACUUCAGGUUUUAUUCUUGAUUAGUUCUUGAGACUUUCAAGACCUUUAAGACUCCCAUUGUCCUCUUGACAUAUAAGACUCUCUUGUCAAAUAUUCAAGAGAUAGUGUGGAUUCUAAUCAAGACAAACACUUCAGACAAUUGGCCUUAGUUGGUCUUUGUUUUAUCCAAAACAUCACAACUUACCAAUUUCAAAUGUACAAGAGUAGAAAACUUUUACUCUUACAUUUGACAAGUGUUUUAAACCUUCUCAAAGACAUGUCACUCAAGUUACAAUCUUGGAGUUUGACUCUAAGACUUGUAUUUGGAACGAAGUAUGAAUCAUCUUCUUGAUUUAACCACUUCCACAAUUCAUGAUUCCUCUUCUUAACUACCAGAAUGCACUUAGAGGAUGAAUUGUGAUAAGGUCUCUUAAUCAUUAAGAUGAUUAUAUAACCUGAUACUACAGUACUCUCCCAUCUUUUCAGAUUUGAGAAACUUUUAUCUUUCUGCCUAAGUUGAUUCUUCUUAUUCACUCUGCCAUACAUUGGAACCUUUUCAAAUGUCUCAGAAUUACACUUAAGCUUGAAAGUAUAACCAUAUUUACUGAGCUUUAGUAAAUUAUGACGAAUAGUCUUAUCUAUCGUUUGUGGUGGACUUAAUCAGUUCACAAGAAUGUGUACUCGAUCCCUUAGUCCUUUACUUGACUCACACAUCCAUGUGAACUAGUAGUUAGUCUUAAUUUUUCUAAUGCUUGAAAGUUUACAUCCAUCAUGCUAUACAACUUGCAUGAUUCCAAGUCUCUAUCCAACUGAAACUUAGGUGACGAGAAUCUUUCCUUAUUUGGUAAAUUUAGACAUUACCACAAAUGAGAGAAUCAAAUUCACUUUCCAAUAUUGCUAUCAAUGGAAUCAUACAAACAACAAUUUUUCACAAAUGCCAUUGUAAGGAUACUUAAAAUAAAUAAAAUCAAAUAUUUUCCUUUUAUUUUAAAAACUUUGCAAAAAAACUAUCCUUACAAUGAAAAAGCACAUGAAAACUUUGUUGUUAAUAAUUCCUAAGCAAGAUAUCAUAACUCCUAAGAAGCAGCUCAAGAAUCUGAUCUUCAAACUAUGCGACAGAAAUCCAUCUACGCGAUCAGAUUCAGCAUAUUCUUUCUUUAAGUUCCUUCACUUUUCUUUGAUUCUUAAAACAUCACCAUGUGACCCAGUCACAUCGUGUAUCAAGAAUCUCAGAAUAGAUACUUAUCAGAGUUAGAUAGUGGACUAUACCUGAAGUAGAGUCAAACUUAUUAACUUUAACACCCUUAGGUAAAUUGGCAACUUCGCAACCAAUGCCCCUUUUUUUUGGCAAUUUAACAUAUGGAAACUUUGGUAAUGGAACAUGGGACUAUCACAAACAUAUCCUUUCUCUUUACCACUUGGUUAACCGAGUUGACUAUGGCCGAUCCCUUUCCAUUGGGAAGAGAGAGCUUUACCGAAUAUCCAAUGUCAUUAUUGUCAAUGUCCACAAGUUUUAGGAAGUCGAUCUUAGAUAAUAGAUAAGAUCAUUAAGGGUCUUGUCAUAGUGUGUUUCAUAGGAGUCCCAAAGGAACUCACUAUGUGACUUAGAAAGUGAUUGAACCACCAACUUUCUCAAGACUUUGACACCCAACUCUCCCCGGCUAGUCAAUAUGUGACUACAUCUCCUAGAUGUGACCACACAUAGACCUUUACUUGCCAAUAGGGCUUGAGUGACCUUAAACUUUUCAAGAACUUGUGGUUUAGGGAGAAUAAUUAGAGGAGGUGAAAGAAGUAUGAUUUUCAUGGGACAUCAUCUUCAUUUAGGAAAGCUUGUUUCAAGAGAUUUGGGAAGAUCAUAAAUGUCUAAACCAGACAUCUUUAGGGAGAUAUUCAAGAUAGUUGAUUUAAAUUCCCUAAUAUAACACCCAAUAUGAAAUAUUAAGGCUAGGACCCAACACAAUACUUUUAUAACUUGGAAGAGAGAUGUCGUAAUCCAAGCUACAAAAAAUUUGAAGGUAGGUGAAUGACGAUUCACUAAUUUCAACCAAAAGAAACGAAAUAGAUUAUUAUGUUUUUAAAUCUGCAUUUGAAACUCCUAGAUCUUUUGAGAUUCAUUGAACUGUUCAAUGGCAUGUUUCAAUCUCGAGUGUGCCCUUCAGGUUUUGUGACUGGGAUGCCGAGGAUCACAAAAGAAGGUGUGAAGUAACCAUGCAAAUUAACUUUUAAAAUUCUAAGGGCUGAACUUGGAAUUAAAGUAUUCAUAAGAAAAAACUUUUUAAAUUCCAAAAUUUGAGGGCAAGCUUUGAAACUAUUCAAAACUAAUUAAUUCCAUAACUUAUGUGUUUAAAGUAGUUUUCAUCCAAAAACUCUUCAAGUUCCAUAACUUGAGGAUAAGUUAUGGAAGUCUUUAAAUUAUUAAAGAAUCUAACUUUUCUUUAUUUUGUAAC
This 7807-nucleotide long non-coding RNA is filed under the name Lactuca sativa (garden lettuce). RNAcentral's name for it is "long non-coding RNA (LSAT_LNC002918)". Lineage: Eukaryota; Viridiplantae; Streptophyta; Magnoliopsida; Asterales; Asteraceae. The record is from RNAcentral.